This is a long non-coding RNA of Mauremys reevesii (Reeves's turtle), 972 nucleotides long. RefSeq lists it as uncharacterized. The transcript is spliced from 7 exons. The record is from RefSeq and is a predicted model, not a curated record. NCBI's taxonomy places the organism in Eukaryota, Metazoa, Chordata, Testudines, Geoemydidae.
GCGAAGGAUGUGGGUCCACUUUAUUAGAUUCUCAGCCAGGAAUGCCAGAAGACAACCUUAAUUUAGACGGAUUGUUCGCACGAUGAUGUCAUACCAAUACAGUCAUAGCCAAUCAAUCCCUCAAGCUUGCAACGUCACUUUAUAAUUCACAAGUUGGCAUUCCUGAAAUACUGCAUGAUCAAGUGGAUGAAGCUUGUGGUUCAAGAGCCCUAAUGAAAAUUGAACGAGUUUGCUGGCAUUUUAAAUAUCACCUUCAAAGAAAUUACAGCUUCACUGAAACAAAGUUUUCUGCACCAGGGCACUCACUUGAGGAAAGAUGUGUUAAACAUUGUCCUAUUGCUAUAACAUGACAGAGGAAACAAUGUGGUUCUUUAUGAGUGCCUAGUACAAUGGGAUCCUGGUUCAUGACUGGGACUUCUAGUGACUAGAACAUAUAAACCAGUCAGUCAAUCAAAAACCCAACAUGACCUAGAGUUGCAGAACCAGACCCUACACUGAACAGGUCCUACAAUAUCCUUCACUUGCAGAAAAGCCAGCAGACAAGCUAUGAAUACAGCUAGACAUCUCAGGAUACUGAUGACACAAACCACUCGAGCUGUGUUCUUAAGUCCUAUGUAUUGUUUCCACAGAAAGAAAGAGUGAAAUAAACAGAAAUAUAUAUCCUUGUGAACACAUCUGCUCUCCUAACAGUGAUGCACAAGCAGUCGUACGCAACAUACAUUUCAAAACAGAGUUUAUCAGCACUAGCAAGUCUUGGUAAAGACAGAUUCAGUUAACUGUUAUUGCACUAUAAACCUGCUGAAAUUACAAAUGCCUGUACAUUAACCUGGACAACCUCAUCAUUACAAAUACACAGGCUGAUGCUGAUAGGUGUGGAAAGACCUCACCAGGGACUGACUUUACUGGACAAGCAAUUUAGGGAUAUUUGAUUUUUGAAAUUGGGAUUUGUACAUUGUACAAAAUACUUUUCUU